This 433-nucleotide ribosomal RNA is filed under the name uncultured bacterium. RNAcentral describes it as "partial 16S ribosomal RNA". It matches the Rfam family "Bacterial small subunit ribosomal RNA", at positions 29 to 507 of the family's 1533-position model. The record is from RNAcentral.
AACGAACGCUGGCGGCAUGCCUAACACAUGCAAGUCGAACGAUGCCUUCGGGCAUAGUGGCGCACGGGUUCGUAACGCGUGGGAAUCUGCCUUUCGGUUCGGAAUAACUCAGGGAAACUUGAGCUAAUACCGGAUAACGUCGCAAGACCAAAGAUUUAUCACCGAAAGAUGAUCCCGCGUAGGAUUAGCUAGUUGGUGAGGUAAAGGCUCACCAAGGCGACGAUCCUUAGCUGGUAUGAGAGGAUGAUCAGCCACACUGGGACUGAGAAACGGCCCAGACUACUACGGGAGGCAGCAGUGGGGAAUAUUGGAAAAUGGGCGAAAGCAUGAACAAGCAAUGACGCGUGAGUGAUGAAGGCAUUAGGGUUGUAAAGCUCUUUUAAACGGGAAGAUAAUGACGGUACCGGGAGAAUAAGCCCCGGCUAACUACGUG